GAUGAACGCUGGCGGCGUGCCUAAUACAUGCAAGUCGAGCGAACAGACGAGGAGCUUGCUCCUCUGACGUUAGCGGCGGACGGGUGAGUAACACGUGGAUAACCUACCUAUAAGACUGGGAUAACUUCGGGAAACCGGAGCUAAUACCGGAUAAUAUAUUGAACCGCAUGGUUCAAUAGUGAAAGACGGUUUUGCUGUCACUUAUAGAUGGAUCCGCGCCGCAUUAGCUAGUUGGUAAGGUAACGGCUUACCAAGGCAACGAUGCGUAGCCGACCUGAGAGAGUGAUCGGCCACACUGGAACUGAGACACGGUCCAGACUCCUACGGGAGGCAGCAGUAGGGAAUCUUCCGCAAUGGGCGAAAGCCUGACGGAGCAACGCCGCGUGAGUGAUGAAGGUCUUCGGAGCGUAAAACUCUGUUAUUAGGGAAGAACAAAUGUGUAAGUAACUAUGCACGUCUUGACGGUACCUAAUCAGAAAGCCACGGCUAACUACGUG
Molecule: ribosomal RNA, 497 nt
Filed under: uncultured bacterium
Lineage: Bacteria
Description: partial 16S ribosomal RNA
Rfam family: Bacterial small subunit ribosomal RNA
Source: RNAcentral